Molecule: ribosomal RNA, 253 nt
Filed under: uncultured bacterium
Lineage: Bacteria
Description: partial 16S ribosomal RNA
Rfam family: Bacterial small subunit ribosomal RNA
Source: RNAcentral
UACGUAGGUGGCAAGCGUUGUCCGGAUUUACUGGGCGUAAAGAGCGCGUAGGCGGCCUUCUAAGUCUAUGGUGAAAUCUCCCGGCUUAACUGGGAGGAGUCUGUAGAUACUGGAAGGCUUGAGUACCGCAGAGGAAGAUGGAAUUCCCGGUGGAGUGGUGAAAUGCGUAGAUACCGGGAGGAACACCAGAGGCGAAGGCGGUCUUCUAGGCGGUUACUGACGCUGAGGCGCGAAAGCGUGGGGAGCGAACCGG